This is a long non-coding RNA of Amblyraja radiata (thorny skate), 71 nucleotides long. RefSeq lists it as uncharacterized. Lineage: Eukaryota; Metazoa; Chordata; Chondrichthyes; Rajiformes; Rajidae. The transcript is spliced from 3 exons. The record is from RefSeq and is a predicted model, not a curated record.
GCGAUCGUGGACAGAGUUGAUCCCAAAACAAGCUGUGAAGCAACCCAACAGUAUGCUUUCUAUGGUGUAUG